This 420-nucleotide ribosomal RNA is filed under the name uncultured bacterium. Its description in RNAcentral is "bacterial SSU rRNA". It matches the Rfam family "Bacterial small subunit ribosomal RNA", at positions 539 to 956 of the family's 1533-position model. The record is from RNAcentral.
CGUUAAUCGGAAUUACUGGGCGUAAAGCGUGCGCAGGCGGUUAUGUAAGACAGAUGUGAAAUCCCCGGGCUUAACCUGGGAACUGCGUUUGUGACUGCAUAACUCGAGUGUGGCAGAGGGGGGUGGAAUUCCACGUGUAGCAGUGAAAUGCGUAGAGAUGUGGAGGAACACCGAUGGCGAAGGCAGCCCCCCUGGGUCAACACUGACGCUCAUGCACGAAAGCGUGGGGAGCAAACAGGAUUAGAUACCCUGGUAGUCCACGCCCUAAACGAUGCGAACUAGGUGUUGGGGAAGGAGACUUUCUUAGUACCGCAGCUAACGCGUGAAGUUCGCCGCCUGGGGAGUACGGUCGCAAGAUUAAAACUCAAAGGAAUUGACGGGGACCCGCACAAGCGGUGGAUGAUGUGGAUUAAUUCGAUG